This 1061-nucleotide long non-coding RNA is filed under the name Brassica napus (rape). Its description in RNAcentral is "long non-coding RNA (BNAP_LNC010032)". Lineage: Eukaryota; Viridiplantae; Streptophyta; Magnoliopsida; Brassicales; Brassicaceae. The record is from RNAcentral.
UAAAAGGUAGAACAGAGAGAGUUGGUACCAUCGUAAGGGAGCAGGCAAACAGUCGGAGCGGUCGCUCCAGAGUCAGCAAAACGAGUAAGGGGUUGUGGACAUCAAUAGAUCCGUCCUCUCUUGCUAUUUUGCGCGAUAUCCUGCAUCCACUACAAAAAUUGGUAGCCUAAACGAGUCAUUUCAGGUCUAGAGUAGGCUAAAGAGUUAAAGGAAGAAGCGUGAAACAAUCAUGCGGAGCAGUCUGACGGUUGAUCCCACUAGGAACAGCCCGGCGAUUGUUCCCGACAUUUAUGGAUGUUUCCAUAUCUUUCAAAGAUUUGCCCUAAUCACUUAUUCCCUCCUCUGAAGUCGAUGGCGCCUUCAUAUAAAAAGCCAUCCCUAUCUUUAUUUUGAUGGGACACUAGUUUUGCAAGAGACCUAGACCGAAUUAUUGGAUUUUGCUAUUGUAAGGGAGACGGCUCCUCUUCUUCACCGAGAAGAUUAUCCUGAACCCCAUUGAUUUCUCUUUGGAUCUCUAUGCAGUAUCAUUCAGUUAUUAUGUCUGGUUCAUCUUGUUAUAUGGCUGAGUAGUCGGCUAGCUUGUCUAGGGUUCUAGGGUGUUGAUCGCAAAAGCUAAACAUAAAUAAGCGACCAUAUUGUGUCUUUGUUCAUCUUUAUUCUUAAUGCUAGUUAUAACCUGAUCACUUAAUGCUAGAUCUUAGGUUGAAUCUGCUCAUUAACCGUGUAGUCGAUUGCUUGAUAUUGAGUGAAUGAUCCGCACACCUCUAGUCAGCGAAAGUAGAUACUAGAGUUCUCGGUGAACCUAUCGGACUUGAUCUCUAUUGCUUGUAGUCGAUCCUUGAUCCAAACGAGAGUUUAGGUGUCAAGGUCGAACCACAAAGGGAGCAUCACCACGACAGUGGGCUGUUCUACUUGAGUGAUCCGUGUUCUAGAUUGUGUUACAUUGCGCUUGAAUAAAUGUUUGGUUUAGCAUCAACACCCGAUGAAAAACCCUAGAUUAGCUUCUCUUUAAUAUUGAAUUUACUCUUUGCAAUCAUUUACUUCACUAGCACGUUACCACC